UAAAAUAUAUAUCAUUAUCAUAAAAUUUAUAUAUUAUAAGCUAUAUUUUAUACCUGGUGAGGCGGAUUACAAAAAUCCAAUCCCGGGCUCGCCCCAUCCCACAUAAUCACCUAUCCCCUUCCAAUUUAUUUAUUCGGGUAGUGUGUAACAAAUGUCAUCGUGAGACAUGUUGUGUUCUCUUCUUACCAACAUCUCUCUUUAAUUUUCAAGUUCCAGACAUCUUCUAGUUGAUAGUCCUUUAUCUUUAGUAUGUGGUAUAAUACUAAAAAGCAUGGGGGAGGAUAGUGAAGGCUAUCAAAUGUAACCAUUUGGAUUAGUCUUAUUUGUAGGAGAAAGCACUGGGGUGGAGAGUGAAGUUGAUCUAAUAACCAUUUGGCUUGAAAUUUGUCCCAUCCAUCCAUAACAAGUCUAAUUCUGCACCCUCAUCACACCCUUGCCGCUGCCACUGAAGACACGCACCCGCAUGAUCUGCAAUCAUUUGAGAUCCCUAAGCAAAUCAGUGGCCUGUGUUUCUGAUUUUUGAACUGUUAGGGCGCGUUUGGUUUAGGGUGAUUGUUGAUAACCUUGUUUGGUUUAGGUUAUGAUCAAUUCCCGAGUAAUGCAGCUUAUUGCUACAUCAGCAAAACGUUAUCAAAUGAGCUAUAACUCCGGAAUCCGAUUACCUUGGCAACCUAAGGUCUUCGGUGAUUCUGGAGGUUAAUGAUUUUUUUGGUCAAAAUUAUCCUUUAUUUUGUUUUUGACGCCGAUGACUCAUGGGUUAUUCUCCAACGGCUCGUAAGGCGAGCGACGGGGCAAGCAGCAAGCAAUGGGGUGAGGCGAAGCAAGUGGCAACGGCAUGACGAGGUGUGGGUGAGAGGGAGAAGAUGACACAGUAAUCGGAUGAGUGAUCUUAGGUUUUUUAAUUAAAAUUUUUCUUAAUUGAUUCAAUCAAAUCCUAACUUAAAUAGGUAGUUUAAAUAGACUUUCUCAAACCUUAAUCGAAUUAUCCUAUUAAAAUAUAUAUAAAUUUAUUUCAAAAUUUAAAAAUUAUAAAUAAAUUAUAUUUAUUUAUUAUAUAUAUUAUCAAUUUAUUGUUAUCAUUAAUAUUAUUAAUUUAAUUUAUUCUAAAAAUAAAUAAAUAUCAAAAAUAUUUAGGAUUGAACCAAAGGUAAUACGGUAAAUGUUAAACUAUAUUAUACACUAAAACUUUCAAACAAACAAGUUUUUAUUGCAUUACCUAAGAUUGAACCAAACAAUAUUGGGUUAUGUUUUAUUCUCCAUAAUCUUAGGUGGCGUUUGGUUAAAUGAUGGGAAUGACUAUUGAUAUGAGUUUGAUAGUAAGGUGUAAUGGGAGUGAGAAUGGAAAUGAAACCCACCUAGUUAUAUGAGUUUGGUUGAUUCCCAUAAAUCUAGAAAUCAUUCCCAAAUUAUCAUUCUCAAACCCACAACCCAAACACAAUCUUUUACUAUCAUUCCAUUACCUCAUUCCCAAACCCAUCAACCAAACACCACCUUAGUUAUGUGUAGAGCUGUGCAAAAAAAAAUGGAAAACCGAAAACCGGACCGGAACCGGUAGCUUACUGGUUCCGGUUUAACUGUUAACCGGUUUUAACCGGUUUUUACCGGUUUAUCAGUUGGUUCCCGGUUUAGAAUUUUUUUUACUGGUAAACCGAUAAAACCGGGAACCGAUCGGUUUUCUUUGGAGAGCCCAAUAACCCACUUGAAUGCUUCGGCCUACUUUCAUGUAAAGAUGAACAAAGCAAAAGCAUUUGGAAUAAACCUUAAAGCUCCCAGUUUAAGAUGAGUUCUAUUAUAUUGCUCUGAUCGUGUCUCCACCAGCUUGCAUUUGCCACUACUUCAUGGUUACCUGGUUAGCUUUUUUAAUGAAAAAUGUUAAACUUUGUAGAUUAAUACUCCAACCUCUUUUAAGGAAGAAAAUUGUUAAAUUUAAUUAAUACAUGUACUCUGCCAAACGUAACAAACUAGUGGUAGAUGGCUAACUUUCCUGUGCUGCCAUUAACAUAACAGCGCUAUUGAAAAGUAAAUCCAGGGAGCGACGAUAUCUUUAUAUGAUCUUCCGUUUGUCUAUAGCAUAUAAUACAACAGAGUGUUUGUGGCAAAUUCAUGAAAGAUUUCUAUGAUGACAGGAAGAAGAAAUUAAUUUAACAAAACAAAGAUAUGAAGAAGUUAACUCUUAUCUUCUUCCCUGAUGGCUAUUGAAGCGUCAUACACAGUUCACGAGAAGAAUUUCUAGCUUCUGGAUCUAAAUUAUGUGCUAGUGCAACAAAAUAAUCAAUUAGCACAGCAGCUGGAACCGGUUCUCGGUUGGAACUGGUUAACCGGCCAGAACCGGUUCAACCGGAACCGGUAGAACCGGAAAGGAUACCGGUCGGUUAACCGGUUCUACAUAAAAUGUGGUAAACUGGAAUUAACCGGAACCGAUAAACCGGUAAAUCCGUUAACCGACCGGUUGAACAUGCCUAGUUAUGUGAUUACCUGAUAAUCACAUAACUAAGGUUAUGCAUGAUAACUUGAACCAGCACCCUUAAAAUUUUCACAGUGGCUAGUAUGAAUUCCAGGUCAUGAUUAGGAAGUUUCUGAGUUACUUGUACUUAAAAAUAGCUCUCUAGUAUACCUUAUUUUUUAUUGAUCAUUACUAAAAUAGAAAAAUCAUGUAUGAUCAUAAAUCGAUGAAUUCCAAACAAGUGUCAUAUUAAUCUUGGUUGGAACAACUAGAUUUGGAAUACAGUGAAACUGGAACAGCUCUGCUCUCUUUGCUUGUGUUAAUUACUAGGGCUGAGCUUUCGGGUGAAAGAACUGACCGAACAGAACAAACCGAAACCACAUAAAUCAAAAAAAUUUCAAACAAACCGAACCGACCAAAUUUUUCAACAAAACCUGAAAAAAUCGAACCUAUAUAACAUCGGUUAAUUCAGUUUUCGACUGAAUUAACCGAACUUCAACAAUCAAACAAAAAAAAUCAGUAUUGCUUGCAAGAGGCCAAUUGCCGUUCUCACAGAGCUCCUCAGCUGUCAUUAAUUCUUGAACUCUAGAAAUCAAGCCAGCUAACACAAUUCCAGCAAUUCUAGAACCUUAGAUGAAGAAAUAAAACAAAUGCUUCAAUCGAGGAAUAGUGAAAUGCGGAGAAAACGAAAAUUGAAGUAAUCUGCAUGAGCUACCUUCAGAUCUCGACAAGCGGGGAGAUCAUUCGGUAAAGCAAGGGAUAUCAAGAGUUAAUUCGGAGAAGAGUGCUUGGAGGAAGGAAGGGGAAGAGAUCGGGAGACAUCAGUGAGGUAGCAAUCCUCCACAUAGACGGGGGUAAUGGUGAAUCGAAGAGAGACUGUGUUGUUGCCGGUCGUUCGCUUGUUGCGGCCUGCGUGAGGACAAGGGGACUCAUAGGCGAUGGUCUCAUCUGCGGCGAGAGCUACAAGAGGGGAGGGAGGGCUUCAUAGUGUUGUUGGUUAGUUGCUCGCUCGUUGGCUACGGCCUGCAUGAGGACAAGGGGACUUAGAGAGUUGCUGGCGAUGGUCUCAUCAGUGGCGAGACCCACAAGAAGGGAGGAGGUAAGAGUGUUGGGAGGAGAGGCGAGAGUGGGAGUCAUGAGGGGAGGUUGACAAGAUGAGUGGGAUUCCCACAAGGGAGGAGGUAAGAGUGUUGGGAGGAGAGGCGAGAGUGGGAGUCACGAGGGGAGGCUGACAAGACGAGUGGGAUUGGAAAUUAGGGAUUUUAAUUUUUAAACUCCCAUCUUGGUUUGGUUUUAGAUUUUUAAAACCAAAAUCGAAGUGAUAUUUUUUUUUAAAAAAAAAGAACUUUCGAAUUAACUGCACCAAAUUUUUAAUUUCGGUAGUUAAUUUGGUUUAACUAAUCUUUUACUCACCUCUAAUUAUUACUAUGGAAUUAACUGCAGCAUUUUACCAUUUUUUAAAUAUUUGUCUGAAAUAGGUUUAUUGAGGUAAUAUAUUAGAAUCAUAUUUCAUUGAAGUCUAAAGGUUCUUAUGAGUCCUGCAUCACCAUUUCUCAAGUUUGCUGCUAGUUAAAGCUGGUACAGUUUUGUUAAUAACUACUUUGCUGAGAGGUGGACCAUGCUAAAGCCACGCUGGAUGACAUCCGCUGGUGGUACCAAUCAAUUAGAGCAAAUUGAUGUCUGAGUUGUAUAUUGUUCCCAAUGAAGUAUGAAAAGUCUCAUGGUUUGCAUCGCCCUUGCUUUAUGCCUCAUCUCAUGUAAGAAGUCUCACCUUUAGGAAAUCAUUCUAGCAUAUGUGUCACAACUCCACGUCUCAAUCUGUACCAUGCAUUGUUGCCCCACCUGGUGCAAAAAUAUGUUUCAUCUGUGCUGACCACUACAGAACCUUGUUUUUAAGCGUGAAUAAAGUCUUAUUGCAAACUUGAAAUACAAUAAUCUUCUAGUUCUUUAAUGCUGCAUGUAAUUGGAAACUCCUUUGUUGGUUACUUGGUUGUUGCGUCUAUAGAUUUCAAGCCAAUUAAUGGAAGUGUUCUCAUAUUAAUUUGGCUAGUUUUACAGUUCUAUGUAGAGAAUUAAGGUGGGAAACCACUUUUACAGAAUCAUCGCAAUAACACAUUUUAGAUGUUACAAAGAAGCAACAUAAUGGAUUUUACUGUAAAAAUAAAUCAUUUUAGUUAAUUUCAUAUGAUAGUGUUGAUACAUUCGUUCGAGCUGUAUAUCUCAUUUUCAUAUGGCAAGGUUUUUCAGGGACAUGAUUUUGAUUCUUGACAUAUGUAUAUAUUCUAACCAUAUUGGGUAAGGUUUAAGGCUGUCACUUCAUGCAGUAGUCAUGUGUAUCUACAUUUCUGUUAUUGAAAUUCUAUUCCCUAGUAAUAUCUUCCUGAUCUUCUUUUGCGGCAAUUUCCAGAUUUCCGAUCUAUUAUAUGGACAUUUUGGACAUGCCAACUGUUAUGUUGACCCUGCUAUCGCCACAUAGAAAAUAUUCCGUGUCUUUCUCUAUGUUGCUGCAUCUUUUGUAUCUUAGAAUUAAGUGUAUCCUUUUCUCAACUAAGAAUGAUAGAGGUAGCAUAGUAGUGCUCUAUAUUGUCUGGAGGAUUGAUCCAGCUUAAGCAUUAACAUGGUAGAUCAGGCCUUGCUAAUGUUUGAUUACACUAUUCUCUUUGUUUUAUCUUGGCAAAAACUUCCGAUUAUGCCAUCUUUUUUAAGCUUUACAUUCCAUUUCUAAUUGUUGGGUUUUUUUUGUUCUUUCAUGGCUUGCAGGUUAAGAAAUUAACCAAUAACAUCUCAUAUAUAUUGGAUGCACUCCUAAAUUCAACCAUUUUGGAAGUACAGGGUGAUAAAAUAAGACGACGCAAGGAUUGGAUGAACUGGAUUCUUCCUUCAAUAUCCAAGCGAUAUGGCAUUGUUCCAGGGCCCGAGUCUUUAGCCACGUCGGAUGAUGGUUCUCUUGAUACUCUUGUCCAAAAUCUUGGCUUGGAGGAUGGUGCUGCUUGCCAAGCCAUAUAUAAUGGGACACUUGAAAAAGUCAAUUAGUCCCUAGACCAGAGUUCCUUGGAAUGUGUUGCAUUACACUACUGGAUCAAAGCACAGAGAGACAAUUUUAAGAUUUCCAAAAUACAAAUAAUGAAAUAAUGAGGUGGCUAAGUUGCCACUAUCAUGUUCCUUAUUUUGGCUUGGUUUUGCUAAUGAUUUUGGUGAGCGAUACUCUAUCUCGAUUUGCUGGUGGACCGACAAAUUAUCCACAUCCUUGUUGGUGAAUACCUUCAUGGCAAUAAUGACUCGUGGUCAGCCACUCACCCCUGGAUGAGUGUGGCAAUGACAUCUGUCACAACUGUUAUCAUUUUCUGUUGUCUGGUAACUCGGUUUAUUGCUAUUAGCUGUUUGAUGAUUGUUAAAUAAUUGAAACUAUUUUUGA
Molecule: long non-coding RNA, 5858 nt
Organism: Zingiber officinale
Lineage: Eukaryota; Viridiplantae; Streptophyta; Magnoliopsida; Zingiberales; Zingiberaceae
Exons: 2
Source: RefSeq, a predicted model, not a curated record